This is a long non-coding RNA of Thamnophis elegans (Western terrestrial garter snake), 602 nucleotides long. RefSeq lists it as uncharacterized. The record is from RefSeq and is a predicted model, not a curated record. The transcript is spliced from 4 exons. Lineage: Eukaryota; Metazoa; Chordata; Lepidosauria; Squamata; Natricidae.
GAUUGCACAGGAGGCUCAAACAGAUAAUGGGGCAGUAUUUGCAAGCACAGAAGGAGCAGGAGGUGACUGAAGGAGAUGGAAAAGCUGCUUAAGACACAACAAAGGAAUUGCCAUAUAGCAUGCAGAGAUGAAAAGCCUCUGGGAUGAGCGGCCUAUUGGAGAGUGAAUUAACUGGCAACCUUAAUUUGGAACAUAAAUAUACUUGGAUUUCAAGAGAUUCAAACCCAAAUGUUUACAGAAAUCAAAAUACAGGCCAAAAAUAAAUCUGCUAGAUUCUGGAGACCAAGGAGGAAGAAAUGGACACUGCUAUCUAUGACCUGGACUCUCAGCACAGGUCAUAAAUAUAUCUGAUACUUGAACUCCUUGGUUGGAUUUGGAAGCAGUUCUACCAUAGAAUGGAAAAAUAUAGCUUCAGAGAAUUUCAGCUGUGACGAAGAAAGAAGAGUUGAGCUGAUGCCAUUUCAAAACAACAUAUAAAGCAAGAGCAUUUGUAAUUUUAUGUAUUCUCUCUUGGGGAAUUUAAUAAUUACAUUCAACAUAGGGACAGUCUAUUGUCAUGUCUGCAAAUACUGUUGAUAUGUGUACUCAUUUGCACAUUUAUA